AUGGUCGUGGACAACAACUGCCAGGAGUUUUUCGUGGUUACCCUCUCAUAUCACCGAAAUCAGGAUCAGGCAAAUCAAAGAAUCCGGCCAAAGCUGCAGCUAAAUAUGGAGGAGCUGGAACUGGAGGAGGUGCACUUGGUCAAGGAGGCGCUUUAGGGGUUGGGGCUGGAAGACUUCCUGGAGGCGGAGCAGGGGUCACACCUGGAUCAGGAGUCGGGACUGGAGGUGGACCGGGAGCUGUACCUGGGUUUGGAACAGGAGUUGGAACAGGAGGCGGACCUGGUUUGGGUUACGGCCCUGGCUCAGCCAAAGCACGCAAAUAUGGUGAG
This is a long non-coding RNA of Platichthys flesus (European flounder), 329 nucleotides long. RefSeq lists it as uncharacterized. The transcript has 4 exons. Lineage: Eukaryota; Metazoa; Chordata; Actinopteri; Pleuronectiformes; Pleuronectidae. The record is from RefSeq and is a predicted model, not a curated record.